Molecule: ribosomal RNA, 133 nt
Filed under: uncultured bacterium
Lineage: Bacteria
Description: partial 16S ribosomal RNA
Source: RNAcentral
CAGAGUUAGCCGGUGCUUCCUUUCCGGUACCGUCAUCGAUUCUUCCCCGGCGACAGGGCUUUACAACCCAAGGCCUUCAUCACCCACGCGGCGUUGCUGCGUCAGGCUUUCGCCCAUUGCGCAAAAUUCCUCA